Molecule: ribosomal RNA, 423 nt
Filed under: uncultured bacterium
Lineage: Bacteria
Description: partial 16S ribosomal RNA
Rfam family: Bacterial small subunit ribosomal RNA
Source: RNAcentral
GAAUCUUCCACAAUGGACGAAAGUCUGAUGGAGCAAUGCCGCGUGAGCGAAGAAGGUUUUCGGAUCGUAAAGCUCUGUUGUAAGGGAAGGACAAGUACGGGAGUAACUGCCCGUAACUUGACGGUACCUUAUUAAAACGACACGGCUAACUCCGGCCCACAAGCCGCGGUAAUACGUAGGUGGCAAGCGUUGUCCGGAACUAUUGGGCGUAAAGCGCGCGCAGGCGGCCUGUUAAGUCUGAUGUGAAAGCCCCCGGCUCAACCGGGGAAGGUCAUUGGAAACUGAUAGGCUUGAGUACAGAAGAGGAAAGCGGAAUUCCACGUGUAGCGGUGAAAUGCGUAGAGAUGUGGAGGAACACCAGUGGCGAAGGCGGCUUUCUGGUCUGUAACUGACGCUGAGGCGCGAAAGCGUGGGGAGCAAACA